Molecule: RNA transcript, 3115 nt
Organism: Tachysurus fulvidraco (yellow catfish)
Lineage: Eukaryota; Metazoa; Chordata; Actinopteri; Siluriformes; Bagridae
Gene name: macrophage mannose receptor 1-like
Exons: 3
Source: RefSeq, a predicted model, not a curated record
UUGUGUUUGUAGCUGAGUGUACAAUAGAUGAAGCAGUCCUAUUUAUUUAGGUAAGUAUGUAAAAACGUUGCUUUCAUUUAUUACAUCUAUGAUGAUUUUUAGCAGAAGUUUUGUGUUUCAACUCAAUGAACCUUUCUACUUCAGGCAGCGGUUGUGUAUUUUGUCCUGCAUCCUAGUUUUGUAUGAAGACUGAGUGCUUUAAAAGUGAAACCAGUCACCUGGGGAAACAUGGACCUUGGAGUUUAGAGCUCCAUAGUUUGAGCACCGCUUUCUAUUGGUUCCUUAAUAGGAAUUUUUUUUAAUGGAGUGAGUUUUUUUUAAUGGGUGAUCACUUUGAUAGCUUUGCUCUUUGUAAAGGCAUAAACAGCACUGUGAUGACUGGUGAGAUUCUCUUCUGAAUGUUUCUCUUGCAUUUUUCCUCCAUUUGUCGUCUGUGCUUUGUUUGUUCUCUCGUGUGAUCUGUGUGUUCAGACGUUAUUUAGAAGAAAAGUGUAUCACAACUGACAGUGAGCACCUUCACCAUGACCCCUGUCCUCUCUAACACUGCAGCAAGACCAUCAGCAAUAACACUGGAGCUGCUGAAGGAUUGGAGUUGUUUCUUUGUGUGAUGCUGAGAUACUGAGGCAAUGUGACCUAAUUAACAGGAUAACUAUUUUUAAUAAAAUCCACACACAGACACUUUAGCAUGAUUAUAUCAAUGAAGCAGUUUGUCAAAAUCAGUUUAUAGUGUUUUACAUAAGAAUCCUUAAGAAGGACUCUUUGUCUGAAGGAUGUACCAAGUAUCAAAGCUAAGGUAUCAAGUUAAAAUGCUGACAGGUUCUAGGUGUUACGAUGUGUGCAGGUGUCAUCUAAUUUGUUUGUGGUUGUUUUACCUGUGUGUUUUUUAGAGUGCUGUGUUUGUUUUACAUUUGCAAGGUUUUUUACCUACAUGACUUCAAAGAUGAUGUAGGACCUAAAAGACUUUUGUGAAGAAGUAUAGAUUUACACUUGGACUGAAGUUCAGGAAUACUGCAGAAAAAAAACCCCAAAAUGUAUAAAUGUAUAAAGAAUUCUGAAUAACAACAUCUAUGGAUUUUCAGAGGCUGCAGAAAACAAAUGACAUUAAACCUCCAGCCUAACAUUGUGUAGAUCCACCUUGUGUCAUCAAAUCAGCUCUGACCCACCAAGGCAUGGACUCCAUAAGACCUCUAAAGGUGUGCUGUGGUAUCUGGCACCAAGACAUUAACAGCAGGUCCUUCAAGAUGUGAGGUGCUGCAUCCAUGGAUCUGACAUCCCACAGAUGCAAGAUCGGACUGAGAUCCUCUCUGAGAAGAUCUCAGGACAUUGGAGUCAACACCUUAAACUCUUUAUAUGUUCCUCAAACCAUUCCUAAACAUUUUAUUCCAUGUGGCAGGACUCAUUGUUUGGGUUCCAGGUCACCACCUCCAUGAAUUCUGAGCUCAUCACUGCUUUAUGGUAUGACCAUCAUCAGUUACUAAGGGAGGGCGUCCUGUAAUGAUCAGGCCUAGGCUGGAUUUCUGUCUCUGGUUUCAUGGAAAGGUAGAAGUACAUGCUGGAGUCAUGGCUGCUUUAAGAAUCCCGUUUCAAAAGUGACUUCUGAAAUUGUAUUAUGGAAAUCAGUGUACAAACGAAGUUACACAUAAAUAAACAGUGUAUUUUGACUGACACAUAUGCAAGUUUACCACCAUUACAAAGGAAACAGAACCACAAGGCAGAUUUGAUUCCAAGACAGAAGACAGACACAAGGUUUUGCAUGUGUUUUAAAUGUAUUUAAAAAGAAAUGAGUGUCUGAGUUGGUGUAGACGUGAUGAGACGUUAUUUAGAGACAUUGUGCAGAGACAGACUGAGCUCAGAUGCUUCAGAGCAAAGAUGAAAUCACUCUUCUUUAUUUUUUUGCUCGUGGUUGGUUGUGGUUUGGCUGUGGGUCUGACAAGAGAAUAUAUUUUCUUUAAUGCUGAAUAUAAUUGGCAUGAAGCUGUGUCAUAUUGCAAACAUAACUACAGAGAUCUGGCCACCAUCACCUCUGCAGAGGAAAAUGAGCGAGUUUUUCAAUCAAAAGGCGGUAAUUAUUACAGUUGGAUCGGGCUGUCCAUGUUAUACUCAGGCACCUGGACAUGGUCUGAUAGAGAUCCCGCUAUUUUUCGGAAAUGGGUUUAUGGAUUACCUUAUUUUUCUAGUCAAAAUGAUGAAUUUUGUGCUUUCAUAUACGGUAAUAGUGGAACCUGGAGUAAUCGCCGGUGCCAGGACGGUACAAAUUUUGUUUGCUAUCGGUUCCUGAUCCUGGUGAAGGAGAAGAAGACCUGGGAAGAGGCUCUGGAGGUCUGCAGGACAAAUUACACUGGUUUGGCCACUGUGACCUCUGAGAUGAGCCUGAGGCAGCUGAAUCUAGAGUCAGUGGGGACGGAGACAGAGAGCGUGUGGACCGGUCUGCGCUUCAUGAAUGGACAAUGGUUCUGGGUGAACGGGGAGCCGCUGGGGAGCCUGGUCUCAAUGCCUUCAUGUCCAGCUCAGUCUUACCGCUGUGGAGCUCUCAACACCACAACAAACACCUUGCAGAACCUGAACUGUAAUGAGAGGCUGAACUUCAUCUGCUACUGGAAGUGAGUGAUUUUACACAAGUUCACACCUCCUUCAGGAAGAUUAUACUGUAUAUAUACUGUAUUAUACUGUACAUAUACUGUAUACUGCAUCACACUGUAUAAUCAUUUAUUUAAUUAUUUAUUAUUAUUUAUAACUAUUAUUCAUUACUUUUAUUGUUUUUAUUGUUAUUAUUAUUGAUGUUUAUUUAUUUAGCUUUCUUUGUUAAUAUUUAACUGAGUUUUAGGUUCUCAUAGAUGAACUGCAACUGAACACUUGAGGAGUUUAUUUGUAGGUGGAGGGUCAGAGUUUAUAAUAAUUUUGAAAUCUGGAUUGUGAUUGGUCAGAAAUGGUAGCAUCAUGGUUGUGGUGAAAAAUCUCUUAUAUGGUCAACAUUGUCAUUAAAUGUAAUUUUUCAAAAUAUUUUUUUAAUUAUGAAAUUGUAUGUAAUUAUAAAUGUUCUGAUUACUUUAUAGAUUGUAUUUCUGUCAUCCUUUUUUCUGCUGCUUGUAACGUAAAUUCAUUUUAAUUGAUUUAC